GGGGACUUAGCUCAGCGGUAGAGCGCUUGCCUAGCAAGCGCAAGGCCCUGGGUUCGAUCCCCAGCUCCG
This 69-nucleotide transfer RNA is filed under the name Rattus norvegicus (Norway rat). It matches the Rfam family "tRNA". Rfam says of the family: Transfer RNA (tRNA) molecules are approximately 80 nucleotides in length. Their secondary structure includes four short double-helical elements and three loops (D, anti-codon, and T loops). The record is from Rfam by way of RNAcentral. Lineage: Eukaryota; Metazoa; Chordata; Mammalia; Rodentia; Muridae.